Long non-coding RNA from Oreochromis aureus, 856 nucleotides. Lineage: Eukaryota; Metazoa; Chordata; Actinopteri; Cichliformes; Cichlidae. The record is from Ensembl.
GGGACACCGGCCCUCGUGGACUGAGAUUGCCCACCUCUGGUCUAGCGCAACACCUGGAGCUAAGAGGGCAAAACAAUCGCAUGAGUGCUGCUGUUUGACUGAGGAAGAAUAAAGGAGUCGUGUGGUUGGAGUGGUUUCCACACCUAAUCGAAUCAGUUUGGAUCACUUUGCUUCACCUGAACACCCUGACAGUAUUUACACACUGCUGUCUGACUGCAUUCAGCUGACACUGAGAUGAAGCAGAAAAGAAGCAGCUGGUGAAGGUAGAAAGUGUGUGUGAGCUGAUGUGGAUGUGAAUUCAGCAGCAUGGAUCAGUGUGAGGACAGAGAGGAGGGAGUCCCUCCCUCUAAAACCACUCUGUGUGGGGAACAUGAGAGCCAGACCAAAGCUCAGAGUUCAGAGCAGCGGUACGCACUGUAUUCUGCCAGACCUGGGCCCAGCUGCAGAUCCCUAACGACUGACUUGUACUUGGAGUUACACGUGUUUUUUACUCGAAAGCGUCUCCCUUCCAGUUGGUCCUCCUCACUGUUUUGUGGAGUGAAUCAAGCACAAGACUGUACUAAACUUGAACCUGAAUCUAAACAUGAACUGAUGCCUGAAACAACAAGCAUACCUGAACAAGAAGCCUCUGCGACUUCAAAUCUUCAGAUCCUCGGUUGUAAACAUGUCAUGGAUCAGGAUCAGGCUGGGCCCCGGCAGAUGAUCUGUCCAGUGUUGAACAGCAGUGCUGUAAAAAAGACAGACGGGCUUUUAAAGGAAUGGUUGUGGGAAACUCUGGAGACUUUGGGAACUGAGGAGCUGAAAAACUUCAAGUGGUGUCUGCAAAAUGUUACUGAGUCAAAGGAUGGCUUCAAGC